RNAcentral lists this ribosomal RNA (594 nucleotides) under uncultured bacterium. Its description in RNAcentral is "bacterial SSU rRNA". The stretch from base 1 to 515 matches the Rfam family "Bacterial small subunit ribosomal RNA", at positions 338 to 873 of the family's 1533-position model. The record is from RNAcentral.
CCUACGGGCGGCAGCAGUGGGGAAUCUUGCGCAAUGGGCGAAAGCCUGACGCAGCCAUGCCGCGUGAAUGAUGAAGGUCUUAGGAUUGUAAAAUUCUUUCAGUAGGGACGAUAAUGACGGUACCUACAGAAGAAGCCCCGGCUAACUUCGUGCCAGCAGCCGCGGUAAUACGAAGGGGGCUAGCGUUGCUCGGAAUUACUGGGCGUAAAGGGAGCGUAGGCGGGUUAUCAAGUUGGAGGUGAAAGCCCAGGGCUCAACCUUGGAAUUGCCUUCAAAACUGAUAGCCUAGAGUAUGAUAGAGGUAUGUGGAACUCCGAGUGUAGAGGUGAAAUUCGUAGAUAUUCGGAAGAACACCAGUGGCGAAGGCGACAUACUGGGUCAUGACUGACGCUGAGGCUCGAAAGCGUGGGGAGCAAACAGGAUUAGAUACCCUGGUAGUCCACGCUGUAAACGAUGAUUGCUAGUUGUCGGACGGCANGCGUCGGUGCGCGAGCUACGACAUAAGACACUCCGCCGUCGGGAGGUACGGUCGCGAGAGUAAACGUACGAAGAAGUAGACGCGNGAGACGUGCGACGACGACGACGAGGGAGAGG